This 24-nucleotide non-coding RNA is filed under the name Cricetulus griseus (Chinese hamster). The record is from RNAcentral. Lineage: Eukaryota; Metazoa; Chordata; Mammalia; Rodentia; Cricetidae.
UCACAACGUUGUCGGUGACGAAGC